GUCGAUUUUUACUUUUUUAUGCAACACUGGCUUAUUGCCCACCUCUCAAAGAGAGCUGAUUGUCGAUAACAUGCGUAAGACAAAAUUGGCGGCAAAUCAUUGUGCAACAUUUGUGGUUAAUAUUUCCUCAGAGAAUUAAAAAGUUUAAGCUGGUGUCAUGGAAAACAGUAGGCCAGUCAACUUAACAAUUGUAGCUGUGUUUCGUGGAAUAUAACUUUUGUAUGGCAAACCACUUCAAAAGAAUUUUAACGGCAAGUUAUUAACUAACAUGUGUAUAAUAUUAUACAACUAGUUUCAUAUGCACCUUUUUGUUCCUUUUUGAAAAAAUUACGUUUUUGUAGAUGAAUACUUGUUUGGGCAUGCAGAGCUGCUUGACAUUUGGAGCAACAAUAGUCGCUCUGAGGAUGCAGUUAGGCAGCAUAUAUUUAAAAAAAUUGGUCAGAAAAAUUGGUCAAAUAACAUUUGCCAGGUUGCAAUAGAUUAUAGGUUGUAAGUAUAAUAGCAUAACAAUGACAUAUGAUAAAUUUAUUUUUAAAUUUCAUGACAAACUGUUUUGGACCAUCAUAUACAUCUUAAUAUGAUUUUAUUUUAUUUGAUUUUCUGUAUAUAAUAUCAUAAUAUAAUAUAAUUAAAAAUAGAUACAAAUUUUUUUUUUUUUGGUAAUGUAAAUAUUUUUAUGGCAUAUCGGCCAGAUCGUUUAUAUGGCAGCUAUAUGAAAGUUGACCAAAUCACUUGAAACUUUGUGAAUCAUCUUGGGGGAAGUAAAGAGUAACACAAACCAAAUUUGGUGAAGAUAGGUCAUCAUUUCGAAUUUCUGCCAAAAAAAACGCA
Long non-coding RNA from Drosophila simulans, 831 nucleotides. RefSeq lists it as uncharacterized. The record is from RefSeq and is a predicted model, not a curated record. Lineage: Eukaryota; Metazoa; Arthropoda; Insecta; Diptera; Drosophilidae. The transcript is spliced from 2 exons.